CUCCUCACUCCAAUCCCGAGCCUCCCCCAAUCCCCGCUUCCUCUCAGGAUCGACCCCGAGCCUCCACCGCGCCUCCUCCUCCGCCACCCCGAGCAGCUGCCGUCCCGCCUCUCCUCCUCGACCUACGCAUCUCCGGCGUGUUGCUCCACCGCCGUGGCGCCUCCUGUGCGAUUCCGAGCAGCCACCGUCGCGCCUCUCACGCUCAAUCUACCCUGCGCCGGAGUUGGAGGAGCAGCAAGGGGCGGCGCUGGGACGGAGGUGGAGGAGCACGGAUUCGGCGCCAGCAGACUCCUCUACGAGUAAGGUCCUCCUCUUCCUUCUUUCUAUCCUCCACGGAUCGGGGCACACAUGAGAUGGCGCGGUCUGCAUGACUCCAUGAGAUCCAUGGAUGGCGGUUCUUCGGCCGGCGCGGGGAUGCGCGAUGGCUGCCGGUGCUCGAGAUCUGGCGGAUGGAGGGCUGCAGCGGCGGCGGGAUCGAGCUCUGGUCUCCAGCUUGCCCAUCCCCCACGUUUCCCUCUCCUCUUCCUCUCUGCUGUUGGCCACGCUGGCCAUGGCCCUCAAAUCCGACGCCUGCAUCUGCGAUGCUAGCAGCAGAUCUGGUUGGGAAAGCGUAAGGAGAUAAACAGCAAGAGAUUGUCUUAGCACACGGAUUCAUGAGUGCUGCAAAUUUAUAUAUAGUGCUUUGUACUGAUGUUUAAAGUUUAUUUAUACAAGUAUUGGAAAGAGGAAUACAAUAUUGCAUUUCUAAAGAAAUCAUCAUGUAGAUAUGUUUUUGUACUUUACUCAGCGAAAAUUGCAGCCAGUUAUUUUGAUAAUAUAUCUCAGUUUGUGUGUCCUUACUAUUCCUUAUUUAUGAAUUUGAGAAGAUUAAUUUCCACCUAUUGGUGGUGAAGGUCAAGCUGCUCACUUUCUUCUUGGAUGUGGACCAGUCUCCUCUGGUAUAGCAGAUCUCACAAAGGAUCUUCAUCAUCAGGACAACUCCAUGUUCCAGUCAGAAGGAUUCUAAUGGUUGUGCUGGGUGUUUGUAACGGUGAGGUUGAGCAUAUCGAUUUGUAUAAUGCACAGACCGCGAAUAAUGGUGUUGUGGUGACUGAUACACUCACACAGUUUCCUGAAGAGGUUGUCCUACUUCAGGGUAGUGAGCUGCAGCAUGUUGACGCUCAGAUGGCGCUGGAGGUUAUUCAGGCACCAUCCACAAAUUAAGUAAGCUAUAGCUCUCUUCACCGUAAUUUUGUCAAGGGGUCCACAAUGAAAUGGACAAUUACGCCAAGAUAGGCACAUAAGAAGGUGGGGUUUGGGGUAUGCUUGACUAUACCUUUGUAUCAAUUGUUCUGUUGCACUUUUAUUCUUCUAAAAAA
Lolium perenne is the source of this 1358-nucleotide non-coding RNA. NCBI's taxonomy places the organism in Eukaryota, Viridiplantae, Streptophyta, Magnoliopsida, Poales, Poaceae. The record is from RefSeq and is a predicted model, not a curated record.